GAGCUUGCUCGGGUGGACAGUGGCAGACGGCUUAGUAACGCGUGGGUAUCUACCUAGAGGUUUGGAACAACUAUUGGAAACGAUAGCUAAUACCAAAUAUUCCCUUCGGGGGAAAGAUUUAUCGCCUUUAGAUGAGCCCGCGUCGGAUUAGCUUGUUGGUAGGGUAAAGGCCUACCAAGGCUACGAUCCGUAGCUGGUCUGAGAGGAUGAUCAGCAAGAUUGGGACUGAGACACGGCCCAGACUCCUACGGGAGGCAGCAGUGGGGAAUAUUGCGCAAUGGGGGAAACCCUGACGCAGCGAUGCCGCGUGAGUGAAGAAGGCCCUAGGGUUGUAAAACUCUUUCACCGGUGAAGAUAAUGACGGUAGCCGGAGAAGAAGCCCCGGCUAACUCCGUGCCAGCAGCCGCGGUAAUACGGAGGGGGCUAACGUUGUUCGGAAUUACUGGGCGUAAAGCGCGCGUAGGCGGAUUAGAUAGUUGAGGGU
Molecule: ribosomal RNA, 484 nt
Filed under: uncultured Alphaproteobacteria bacterium
Lineage: Bacteria; Pseudomonadati; Pseudomonadota; Alphaproteobacteria
Description: bacterial SSU rRNA
Rfam family: Bacterial small subunit ribosomal RNA
Source: RNAcentral